RNAcentral lists this long non-coding RNA (231 nucleotides) under Helianthus annuus (common sunflower). The record is from RNAcentral. Lineage: Eukaryota; Viridiplantae; Streptophyta; Magnoliopsida; Asterales; Asteraceae.
UGGUUAAAACUGUUAAAACAGAGAGACUAAAAAGGUAAUUUAGUCUGACAAUUUUGUUUUUGAAAUUAUUAAAUAAAAAAGAUAUAAAAUUUAUUUUAUUUUAAUGAAAUAAUAAUAAAGAUGAAAAAGAAAAACAUAAAACAAAUCCAUAAGCUAUAUGAUUGGUUGGUCAAAAAACAGGUUUGACCAGUCUGUGUUUUAACCUGGUCUUCAUCCCCACUCAAGUCUCGG